UACGGAGGGUGCGAGCGUUGUCCGGAAUCAUUGGGCGUAAAGGGCGCGUAGGUGGCCCGGUCAGUUCGUGGUGAAAGCGCGGGGCUCAACCCUGCGUCGGCCAUGAAUACUGCCGCGGCUGGGGCACUGUAGAGGCAGGCGGAAUUCCGGGUGUAGCGGUGGAAUGCGUAGAGAUCCGGAAGAACACCGGUGGCGAAGGCGGCCUGCCGGGCAGUUGCUGACACUGAGGCGCGACAGCGUGGGGAGCAAACGGG
This 254-nucleotide ribosomal RNA is filed under the name uncultured bacterium. RNAcentral describes it as "partial 16S ribosomal RNA". It matches the Rfam family "Bacterial small subunit ribosomal RNA", at positions 524 to 776 of the family's 1533-position model. The record is from RNAcentral.